Zalophus californianus (California sea lion) is the source of this 271-nucleotide long non-coding RNA. RefSeq lists it as uncharacterized. The record is from RefSeq and is a predicted model, not a curated record. NCBI's taxonomy places the organism in Eukaryota, Metazoa, Chordata, Mammalia, Carnivora, Otariidae. The transcript has 3 exons.
AAAUUAGUUCAACCUGAAGCUCAAAGGCAGUCUGGAAGAUGUUAUGUUGUGGCUGAUACCUUCUAUACAGCAAGUAUUCAAAAUCUGCCUCUCACGUAAGGCCCUGCUCACUCACCAGUGGUAUACCUCAUGGCCUCUCCUGGCUGCUGUCUUGGGGUUGGAUACGAGCAAAACAGCAAAAGUCCUCCUAACUUAUGGGGUGUCCACUCAUGGGAAACAUCCACAUACCUGCCUGAACUAUCAGUAAGAUUGCAGAUGGGUCCAAUGCUAU